UUAAUUGAAGAGUUUGAUCAUGGCUCAGAUUGAACGCUGGCGGCAGGCCUAACACAUGCAAGUCGAGCGGCAGCACAGAGGAACUUGUUCCUUGGGUGGCGAGCGGCGGACGGGUGAGUAAUGCCUGGGAAAUUGCCCGGUAGAGGGGGAUAACCAUUGGAAACGAUGGCUAAUACCGCAUAACCUCGCAAGAGCAAAGCAGGGGACCUUAGGGCCUUGCGCUACCGGAUAUGCCCAGGUGGGAUUAGCUAGUUGGUGAGGUA
RNAcentral lists this ribosomal RNA (263 nucleotides) under Vibrio cholerae. RNAcentral's name for it is "partial 16S ribosomal RNA". It matches the Rfam family "Bacterial small subunit ribosomal RNA", at positions 1 to 259 of the family's 1533-position model. Lineage: Bacteria; Pseudomonadati; Pseudomonadota; Gammaproteobacteria; Vibrionales; Vibrionaceae. The record is from RNAcentral.